Bos taurus (domestic cattle) is the source of this 440-nucleotide long non-coding RNA. NCBI's taxonomy places the organism in Eukaryota, Metazoa, Chordata, Mammalia, Artiodactyla, Bovidae. The record is from Ensembl.
CUUUGUUCACCGAAACUUGGUCUCACCAUUUCGUUCUUUCUCUUACCUUCUGGCUGAAUUAUUCAGCCUCUUUUCUCCACUGAAUUUACUCACUGAGCUAACCUUAUUCUAUUACUCUUUAUAUCCUUAAUUAACAUUUAAUUAAGCAGUUGUUUCCUGAUCCUCGCCAACGCCGUCCCCGCUUCGAAUUCCCUGGAUCCACUGGGGCUGGACCCCGGCAGAGGAGGUUGCGUGUGGUGGAAUAAAAAGGAGAAAUAUUUUGCAAAGUUAAAAGACUCUUCCUGCCUGGGCCACCACCCACAUUUGAUUAUUUUCUAUAUACUGUCGAAAGGUGUUUAUGGGAAUAUUCCUUGGAGAAGGCAAUGGUAAUCUACUCCAAUAUUCUUACCAAGAUAAUUCCAUGGACAGAGGAGUCUGGAGGGCUACAGUGGUCACAAAGA